Molecule: long non-coding RNA, 740 nt
Filed under: Anas platyrhynchos platyrhynchos (common mallard)
Lineage: Eukaryota; Metazoa; Chordata; Aves; Anseriformes; Anatidae
Description: lncRNA (ENSAPLG00000021242.1)
Source: RNAcentral
UGCUGAUGGAGAGAAAAAUUACUUCCUUCACAGCCUGUGCCCUGCAACUCAGUUGUGCUAUACUUCUUGUCACUUGUGAGUGUUUCGUCUUAGGUGUAAUGGCUUAGGAUCGGCAAGUGGCAAUAUGCCAGCCUCUGCAUUAACUCACCACGAUGAACAGGGAUCUCUGCUUCAAGAUGGCUGUUGGGUCUUGGCUUACUGGUGUACCUGUUGUUCUGGUCUUCACCACAUGGUUGUUUACCUUACCCUUCUAUGGGACAAACAACAUAGAUCAUUUCUUUUGUGAUGUUUCUCCUGUGUUGAAGCUGAUAACCUCAGCUCUGGGCCAGAGGCAGGUCUUUUCCACCCGUGCAGCUCACCUGUUGGUAGUAACUCUUCUACAGCACAGCUGGCAUCAUUCACCUGCGACCUAAAUCCAGCCUCUCACCCAAUAUGAAGAAAAUGGUUGCCCUGUCUUACACAGUUGUCACCCCCAUGCUUAACCCCAUCAUCUACAGCUUGGGGAAUCAGAAAGUUAAGCAAAGCCUGAGAAGAUGCAUUGACAAAAGGCUGCUUAGGAAGCAAACAGCCAUCUUUUCUCCGUCCAAGAAGUGUGAACAAAAAGGAAUAGUUCAUCAUCUACUCAUAGCCAAGCCCCAACAGGCAAGGCAGUCCUUCUCCCUUAACUGUGAUCACAGAGAACACAGCUGCACAGCAUAAUGCCACCCACAUAGUCUCUUUUCAGCUCCUCUUCUUUCCAC